CCCAAAUCCCCACAUUCACCAUCGAGACGUUUGUAUUCUCCCCUUUCUCCAGACCGUUUCAGAACGCAAUGGGCAUGAAUUCAUGGGCAGCUGGCAUUCAAAUUCCCUACAAUUUCCAUAAGCCCUUUCACAGUAAACGGCCGUGUGAAGUGAACUAAGAAGUCCAAUCAUCAUUGUUGCUCGAGUGGUGGCAAAGGUUGUGCGUAUAGCCGUAUACGAAGACAGGGUUAGCGGACGUGGACAGCGCAAGACGAAUAGUGGAACCGUGAAAGUUGGGUUUGGUUGCAAUGGUGGUUACAGCAAUAGUGGCAAAUUUCUUCAUCUUCCAUCUGAUUCAGGUUGCAUUUGAGGGUGCAAUUUCAGGGGACAUUGAAAAGCAAACAAGGAGAUUAUAGAAAGUCAUGGUUUGAUGGGUUUCUUGCUCCACUGCUGUUGUGCGCCUUUGAUUUCUUCGCUGCUGCUAUAAGCUGCCACUGCCUCCACCUUGGUUUUCUUACUCCGUCGCGGCUGGGUUCAUAACGGUGUCACUUCAAACUGCUAAUUGAACUUACUCUUGGUGCAUGUUACUCUUUGAUAUGUAUUAUAGAUUGGUUGGUGGUUACAGUUGAGGUCCAUUGAGCCUUCUGCUUGCACUUUUCAUUCCCACGGGAUGUUAUUACUUCUAAUAGCAUUCUUAGUGCCAGAUAGCAUACCCAAUUUCCCUCACUGAAAAGGUAUUAUUAAACGGAGAGAACAUUAGAGAAAGACAUAGGGAAAGAUUGUCCAGUAGUUUAUGGGCAAGACUUACAAUGCAGAAGAGAUGACACAAAUCGAAAUCAAAAGUAUAUAUGGCCGUACUUUUAGAUAUGACAAUUUUAAAUGUGGAUGCAGAGGUGUAAGGAUUUGAGAGUGAUGUGUGCUUAUUUUUUGAACAGGGCGAUCCCAAUGUUAAAAGGAAUCAAAUUUGAUAAUUUCAUUCAGCUCUCAUUGAUUUGCAAUGACCCAUUGCCAGUGAGUUAAAGGUUCAUAUAUCACCAAUUUACUAUUUAGUUGAUAAGUUAUGAAUAAUAAUAUUGCUUAUUUUGAUUUUUGCCAAUAACAGUAAAAAUAAUUGUUUAUUGUCAGUUUUAUUUUUUGCUCUUAAUCUUGGUUAAAGUGUCUUUAAGAGUCAGUUACAAAGUGUAAUGUUAUUGCGCUUUAUUGGGAGUCAUUGAGUUAGUUUUCGGGUUUCCAAGAGUUACAUUUCUUUGAUACUUGCCAAUUACUAUUAAAAUUAAUUGCUUAUUGUCAAUUUUGUUUUCAGCUUUUAAUCUUGGUUAAAGUGUCUUUAAGAGUUAGUUACAAUGUCUAAUGUUAUUGCACUUUAUUAGGAGUCAUUGAGUAAGCUUUUGGGUUUCCAAGAGUUACAUUUCAGCUCAAUAAUAUAGCACCUUCUUCAAGAGGUAAUGAUUAUGUGAUGAGUAUCCUUUAAAUUUGACAUUCUUUCUGUCUCUUUUUUGCCUUCUUUGUUCUGCAUUCAGUACCGCCAUUUCUUCGCCGCAUUUCAUUCUUAGGUUGACACCUUCAUAAGUUUCCAUUUCAUACAACUUCUCCCAGAUGGAUUCACUUUGUGUCUUUGGUUGCCAUUGCUGCCUACUAUACAUGGUAUAUUCCUCUUCUAAUGUUUUUCAACUUUAUAAUUAACUUUUAUCAGUAUACCAUAAUCUAAUAUAACUUUUAGCUGAUAAGUACGACUUCUUAUAUAGCUUCUCCUUUAAUCGCUAUUCAUUUGUCGAGAAUUGCAAUGCAAAUCCUUCCUUUUUACUAUGCAAAAUUGCAGUAAUUUCUUCAAAUGUAUCUAAAUCACAUAUUUAAUAUUUAUAAAAAUAUAAAAUUAAGGGGUGUUUUCAAAUUGGCACUGCACCGUCUCAUUUUACAGAGAAGGGUGACAGGGCUGAUGGAGUACAAACCAGGUAUCAUAAUCAUUGUCCAUCCCUUAAUGCAGCAUAUUCCACAAUGGGUUCUGAAGUUUCAAGGUUUGCAAAAGAAAGUAUUGAUUUUGCUCUUGAUAAUAGUUGUAGAGUGUCUUAGAUGCUACUUGAUUGAUGGUUAUGGAAGCUUUAAUGCCAAACUUAUCAAACCUACAAAAGAAGAAUGAUCAAUCCUUUAUUUAGUUAUGUUUUUGUUUCGUAUUUAUGAUCCAUUUAAUCUUUAUACGCCGACAAUGUAUAAUUUACUUUGAAAUUAUUUGAAUUAGUUUUUCCUAAGUUGACCCCCAAAGGUCAUAUCAGAUUGAUAAAGACUAAGGUCCGUCAACAAUUCAUAUGGAACAUGGUGGAGAAGUUCUGAGAAGCAAUUUGGGUCCCAUAAAUAAUAUGAAAAGAACUUGAAAAAAAUGAGUGGUUGUUAAUAACUUUAGAAAGUUACUAUCAUACAAUUUCUUCUUAUUACUAUUAUAUCCCUCCCUCUUUUAUCUCAUGGUUACUGUUACACCCCUCACCCCUCAUAUUUUGCUUUGACAACAGUCGGACCCCAUUCACCAUAUUCGGAAACUCACUUGAGAUCAAUGUCCAAAGCACCAAGACUUUCCUCACGAAAAUCUCCACAUCCAGUUGCAGCAAAAUAUAAAAAUUUAAGCUAACAAUGACUUCAAAAAUUAUUAAAUUGUUCUAUAGGAUAAAAAUUAAAAAAUGUAGCAUUUAGUAAAAUUAGGGUAAAAACCACAAAUAAAUAAAAUGAUUGCGCUUUUACAAAAUAUAAACAAACACAUUCAUUAUGAAAAAAACAAAUUUUUCUUUUCUUAUAUAUAUAAUUAAUUUUUUUAAUCCUUAAAUUAUCUUUUAACAACACAUAUUUAAAAAAAAUACGCAAUAAACUAAAAUGAAAAUCCCCCGUGCAUCGCACGGGUAAAAGUACUAGUAUAAUAUAAUAUCAUAUCAUAUCGUAUAAUAUAAUAAUUAUUAAAUAGUAUAAAUCCUCUUCAGACUUCGAUCAACCACUUCUAACAAGUUAGAGAAGGAAUGAAAGCCAUGGAGAACUUCACUUUCCCUGAAGAGUUGAUGGUAGAAAUAUUGUUGAGGUUGCCGGUAAAGUUUGUAGUGCGUUACAAAUGCGUGUACAAGUCUUAGCUCUCCAUAAUUUCUAGUCCCCAAUUCGCUAAAUCUCAUUUUGACCUAGUCGCUAGACCCACCCAUCGUGUUCUCACAUCAUUUGACAAUGGUUCCCAAAUCACGUCCCUCACUUUUGAGGGAUUAUUAACUGAUGUCUCUGACAAAUUCCUACCUGCACCUUGUAAACUUGAUGUUCCUCUCCCUUCUUACAGUCAUCUUGCUCUUCGGCCUGUGGUUUGUUGUAGAGGGUUUGUGUUGUUACCAAUGAGAAAGGUUGUGAUGUCGCUGUCUGGUUUUUGGUAUGAUAAAUCAACGAAUGACUACUUGCUAGUUCUUAUACGACAAUAUUAUUGUAAGCAGUGCGUACGCAUCCCUAAGAUUAUGAAUUCACAUACUUCGCAUCCUCGAAUUCGGGUUUUCUGAUUGAAAACCAAUGCACCAUCCUUUAUUUCUGGUUUUGAAUUUGAUUAUAUGAUUCUCCUAAUAUGAAGGGCUUGUUCUUGAAUCAGUAUAUUCAGUGGUUAGUUGAAUCUAACGUCACACACCUUCCGCUAAUUGUUGCCUUUGAUUUGAUAAAUAGAAGUUUAUCAGAGAUUCCUCUAUCAGAUGAUUAUGUCGAAUUGUGGCAUAAUAAAGAUUGUUGUUAUCUCACGGUACUAGGAGGAUGUCUCGGUCUCCAUUAUUGGGGUUUCCCGUACGAGGGUGUAAAUGGUGUUCGUGGUCAUAUAUGGGUCAUGAAAAAAUAUAAAUUGUCGUCUUCUUGGAUUAAAUGUUUUGUUCUGCAGGAUAACAUCAGUUGCAGGAAGAACCACUCGUGGACCAUAUGCUUAACAAGAGAUGGCGCUCUUCUUGCAUCAAGGGGCGAUGGAAGAAUAGUGAAAUUGAAUGACAAUGGAAAAGUGUUAAAGCAACACAGAGAUGAUGGGUUGAAGAAUAGUUACUUUCCACAUCAUUAUAUGUAUAGAGAGAGUUUGCUACCACUCCCUUAAUUGGUGGAAGGAAAUAUCCCAAGAAGCAAAUGUAAGAGAAAAGUUAUUAUGCAACCUUCCUUACAUUGUGCAGUGGGAGUGGUUCGCCUAACCUUCGAUCCUAGUUCCCUGCUAGUUUUCCUGGUUAUGUUUACUGUUGAUGCAGGCUAGUGGAAUCGUCUCUGCUCUCUUGGGCCCUUUGCUGUUGUGCAUUGAUGCUUCACCUUUCAGACUUGAAGCUUUCCUUGCCUUUGUCCUGCCGAGUUAUUGAUGUUGGUUGUGUUUGUAUCUGUGUGUUUGUUGUUAUUGUUUUUCUUCUGUUGUUUUCCUGCUCUUUUGUUUUUUUGGGCUCACUAGCGAGAGCUUUGUUCCCUAGCAUUUGUUUCAUCAAUAAUAUUUAAUAUUUCCUUCA
Lotus japonicus is the source of this 4448-nucleotide long non-coding RNA. RefSeq lists it as uncharacterized. The transcript has 6 exons. The record is from RefSeq and is a predicted model, not a curated record. Lineage: Eukaryota; Viridiplantae; Streptophyta; Magnoliopsida; Fabales; Fabaceae.